UUCUGCCUAAAAAAAAAUAAAGAAUCAGUCCCUUCACAUCAGAACUCUCCAAUCAGCAUUAUGACAUCUUGAGAAUCUCUCAUCCAUUUUAGUGGGAUUAGGACCAGGAUUAGCAUUUUUACAGUAGAUUUCCUCAGCAUGCCCUAGAGUAAAGCGUUGUAAUCCUUUCUCACACCAGAAGGUGGCAAGCACUCUUAAAGGAUGAGCUGUAUUGAAACAAGACAGGCUCCUUCCCGAUAAAAUCUCAGCCACCAUUGUCCUCUGCUCAAGCACACAGCCUUGGGUUUUCCAGCCAGAGAUUUGUGUUUAACGGAGUCCAGUAAAUCACAGCAGGACAGCACUAAAAAGGAAAGUAUGAAACACAUUUAAACAUAUCUUCUGUUGUAAUUUAAGCAAAGGACUCUGAGGCUAAAGUAGAAAAUAAUUGUGUAGAAAGCAAAGCUGACCAGAAAAACUGAGAUUUCCACCCCACAGCAGCUCUCACAAAAGCAGGGUUUCUAAGAGAUCCGGAUGCCUGCCAAGCACAGCCACAGAAGAACUGUGAAGUACCUGGAGCUAAACCUGCCCCACAGCCCUUAGGUGUUGCUGGAAAACAGGACAUGAAUAGAUGCAGCCUUCUCAGCUGGGUUCAAAGCAAGCACAAAGCAAGGACCAGAAAGGACAAGAAACAAAGGAAGGAACUAGUUAAGUUGGACCUGCAAGUGAGGGUUCCUGCAAACAUGAGACUGAGGCUGAGUGAAAUCUGCAAAGACUUCCUGACUGUUUUUGGAGAAAGAUGCUGCCUACUCUUUUCUCCUGACACCGGUACCCUUUCUGCUCCUUCACAGUUACAAAACUGGACCACUGCCCCAUGUCUGGUCCUUUUCAUUUGGAAGUACCAUGCUAGGUAGCUCAGCAGGCUGCAAGUACCAGCCCAGUCAUCAUCUGUCCAAGCAAAGGAGACCAACUUGGCCUUCUGGUAACAAGGGGCUGUAAGAUACUGGCUACAUACUGGAGGAUUUGUCCCUGAUACAGAGAGCUCCUCAUGUAGAACAAAGCAGAAGCCAUACACGUGGUAUCAGCUUUGUGAGACCUCAGCAAGCUCUCUUGGAUGAACACAAAUUUCACCUCCAUGUGGAUUUCCAGAACAGCUGAAGGCUGUGAAUGUGCCAUGCGGCAUAUCUUGGAGAUGAAGAAGGGGCAGGAAGGAACAACUGGCAGGGACAGGAUCGCAUCUUAAUGCCAGCUUCCUCAAACUGGAAUAUUUCUUAUUUAAUUACCUUCCAAAUGCCAUUUUUACCCUGUUAAAAAUGAAGCUAGAUUUUAAUAUUAAAAUAACUGUUAAAAAAUGUCAAAACAGAGUAAGCUUACCCAGAUUAAAAAUUCAUAUAUAUACUUUUUU
Molecule: long non-coding RNA, 1381 nt
Organism: Pezoporus occidentalis (night parrot)
Lineage: Eukaryota; Metazoa; Chordata; Aves; Psittaciformes; Psittacidae
Exons: 2
Source: RefSeq, a predicted model, not a curated record